GAUGUUUACAAGCUGACGACACGAAAAGCCUACCGGUAUAUUCCGAAGUUUGUUUAAGCGUUCUUGUUUAAUUUACUCUGACAUUUGCAGCUACUAAGUCUCAGAAGAACAUAAGAUCAAUUACAGUUUACAUAGGAGACCAUGUGGCCUGUGAUAGUAGCUGUUAUGCGGACAUAUGCUCCAUAUGUGCUGCUCCCCAUCACAGCCACUAUUGGGUGUGUGGGAUAUUUCUAUGAAGACAAGUUCAGAGACAUUAAUAAACCAUUCAAAUCAAUAACUAUUCAAGAGGAACGAGAUCAAAGGAAGUUGGAAGAAGUGAAAGAACAAUCAGAUUUAACAAAUCUAAAAAGUUUGAAAUCCAAGCCAAAUGUACCAAAGACAAUCUUGGACAGAAAUGAUAAAGCCAAUAUCGGAACAACAAAGAACAUUUCUUGAUGAGGAAUUAUUCAUAGUUGUGGAAAUUCAUCAUACAUCAUGUAACUGUCAAAACCAUACAUUCAAAACAGCAAAAAUCACUUGGAUCAGAUAGCUGGUAAUUUAUGUGUCACAAGUUUCAUUCCAAGUACAUGCUAAUUAAUAUCUGGUAGAUAUAGCUUUUCAAGUAUUCUGCCAACAUAUGUUUGAUUUGCAUGAAAUUGUACUUAAAAGAAAUGGUGAUUAGCUCUCGUGUGCUUACAUUUAUUGCACUUAAAUGUGUAUAUUACAAUAUUUUUUUUUUUUUUUUUUUUUUUUAAGGAAUCCAGAAAAUAUAUAUUCAUUAAAGUGAGUUAAAGUGGACAGGUAAUUUUAGAUGAGAUUUUUCAAAAUGUACUGUAAAUUGAGACUUUUAAAACAAAAAGGAUUCAAUGCAAAAUCCAUUUGUACCGUUGGUGUUAAUAUUGGAAUAAUGAAUACUUGGCUCACAGACACCUGAAAGUGUUGGUGGAAAUGAGUGGAGGCCAAAGGAAAUGUAUCUUCUGAUUUUGUUUCAUGAAACCAACAUGAAUAUCUCUCAGAAAGUUAGGUUUAAACAAACCAAUUUUCAACCUACUUAGAAUUUGUUUUUACUGUUAUAUUGUAUAUAUUCAUAACUCGUGGCAAAUUUCAUGUUUAUGAUUUGUGUGUCUGAUGAUUUGUUUCUUGCAUCAGCAAUGACUUUUAAAACAAUUCUAUAGCUCAAUAAUUGAACCAUUUUUCCACAGUAUUCUUCAGGGUCUAUGAUUUGUGAUCUAGGAGGGGGAAAAAAGACUUUUUUCUCACCCAGAGAAAUUAAGUGCGUGUUAGUUUGAUAAUUGUCUAAAUGUUCUCCAGUGGUGAUAAUGUCAGAAGAAUACUUUGGACUAGUUUGAUAAGUGUUGGAUGGUCGGUAAGAGUGUGAGGGUAAAGGAAUUGAUGUAUGUGGAGAAAAGUUUGGAUUAUACAAUUCGCUGAAAGCAAUUGUGUGUAUUGUUAUGGAUUGUACAUUUAAGAUAUGUUUGAAAAGUGGAGAGAUAUGAAAUCAUUGUCAAAUAAAAUAAAUCAAUGUCAAAUAA
Ylistrum balloti is the source of this 1511-nucleotide long non-coding RNA. RefSeq lists it as uncharacterized. NCBI's taxonomy places the organism in Eukaryota, Metazoa, Mollusca, Bivalvia, Pectinida, Pectinidae. The transcript has 2 exons. The record is from RefSeq and is a predicted model, not a curated record.